AUGCGUUUCUGCCAUGGUUGGCUCAGCUGAAUGCACCUCUUGAACAAGACUUGGCCUUGGACACCCAGAGGCCCUUGGUUGAGGGUUUACCUCCUGGCAUGGCCACUGACACAUCCACGUUUGGCUCCCACAUGGCUGGGUGGUCCGAGACCUGCUCUUCCUGGGCUACUCAUUGGUGGCAUUUCUCAAGUUUGUCCCCUGUAAAGUCUGCCCCAUCCGGGAAACCAAACACCUCUCUCCUACAUGGAAACCCCCGUCAGCACCUCUUCCUGACUCACAGGGCAUCCCGUCAACAUCACAGUCCCGACCUUCCCACACAGACAAGCUCAUGGGACCCCCUGAUGGACCAGGACAGCGCCAGCACUAAGAAAAGCCCUGAAACUCACAGGAAGAGUGGACCAAGAAGACGGGAACAGCACGGGGCACUGGGAGCUGCAAAUGCCCCCGAUACUGUGAGAGAUGGAGAAAGACUUCUCUUUUCUGUCCUCAUUGAAAAGACAGCCAGCUUUUGUAACCUUGCCUUGGGGAUGUUAGCAGGAGAAAUGUUGGCAAUUCAAGGCUCUUCUGGUUUUAUAAGAAAACCAGAUUUUGCUGGGAGGCCUGGAGUAGAAGAGAGGGCCUUGGAGAAGCAAAAAUGGGAGGAGAGACCUUCUUAGAGAUCAGGAGGAGCAGGUUUGCUUCCAGAACACAGGUGUCAUGAAAACCACCCCUAAAAGCCAAAAUGGGAGAGGAAAAGAUUCAAUCAAUGUUGUCAUCGUUGGACACAUAGAUUCGAGCAAGUCCACCACUACUGGCCAUCUGAUCUACACAUGUGGUGGCAUCAAAAAAGAACCACUGAAAAACUUGAGAAGGAGGCUGCUGAGAUGGGAAAGGGCGUCUUCAAAUAUUCCUGGGUAUUGGAUGAACUGAAUGCUGAGUGUGAAUGUGAUACUGCUCACCAUUGACGCCUCCUUGUGGAAAUGUGAGGCCAGCAAGUGACUAUCGCAGAUGCCUUAGGCCACAGAGACUGUCAAAAACACGAUUCCAGGGACAGAUCGGGUUGGCUGUGUUGUCCUGAUGAUCACUGCUGGUGUUGGCACCUUCGAAGCUGGUAUCUCCAAGAACGGACAGA
Molecule: long non-coding RNA, 1111 nt
Organism: Nomascus leucogenys (northern white-cheeked gibbon)
Lineage: Eukaryota; Metazoa; Chordata; Mammalia; Primates; Hylobatidae
Exons: 3
Source: RefSeq, a predicted model, not a curated record